UUGGAGGUAUAGCCUGCCCCCUGAGUCUUUAAAUGGCCGCGGUAGCCUGACCGUGCAAAGGUAGCAUAAUAAUUAGUUUUUUAAUUGAUAGCUGGAAUGAAAGGCUGGACGAGGGAAAUACUGUCUCUAUUUAAUUUAAUUAGAAUUUUAUUUUUAAGUAAGAAAGCUUAAAUGAAUUUGAAAGACGAGAAGACCCUAUAGAAUUUUAUAUUUAUUUUAAUGUUGGGGUGUGAGGGAUAGUUAGCUUUGGCAUUAUUAGACAUAUUUUAUUGGGGCGAUAGAAAAAUUUAAAUAACUUUUUUUAAAUUUAUCCAUUAAUUUAUGAGUAAGUGAUCCAUUAUUUAUGAUUAUAAGAUUAAAUUACCUUAGGGAUAACAGCGUAAUCUUUUUUAAGAGUUCUUAUCGAAAGAAGGGAUUGCGACCUCGAUGUUGGAUUAAAAU
Molecule: ribosomal RNA, 441 nt
Filed under: Eulasia papaveris
Lineage: Eukaryota; Metazoa; Arthropoda; Insecta; Coleoptera; Glaphyridae
Description: partial 16S ribosomal RNA
Rfam family: Bacterial large subunit ribosomal RNA
Source: RNAcentral